AGCAGCCGCGGUAAUUCCAGCUCCAAUAGCGUAUAUUAAAGUUGCUGCAGUUAAAAAGCUCGUAGUUGAAUUUCGGGACUAAUAUGUCGGUCGUGCCUCGGUACGUACUGAUAUUUUUGGUUUCUCCCUUCUGACGAACCUUGAUGUCAUUAAUUUGGUGUCUUGGGAAAUCAGGACUGUUACUUUGAAAAAUUGAGUGUUUAAAGCAGGCACACGCUUGAAUACAUUAGCAUGGAAUAAUGAAAUAGGACGUUUGAUUCUAUUUUGUUGGUUUCUAGGAUCGACGUAAUGAUUAAUAGGGAUAGUUGGGGGCAUUAGUAUUCAAUUGUCAGAGGUGAAAUUCUUGGAUUUAUUGAAGACUAACUACUGCGAAAGCAUUUGCCAAGGAUGUUUCAUUAAUCAAGAACGAAAGUUAGGGAUCGAAGACGAUCAGAUACCGUCGUAGUCUUAACCAUAAACUAUGCCGACUAGGAUCGGAUGAUGUUAAUUUUUAAUGUACUC
RNAcentral lists this ribosomal RNA (501 nucleotides) under uncultured Glomus. RNAcentral describes it as "SSU rRNA". It matches the Rfam family "Eukaryotic small subunit ribosomal RNA", at positions 569 to 1081 of the family's 1831-position model. Lineage: Eukaryota; Fungi; Glomeromycota; Glomeromycetes; Glomerales; Glomeraceae. The record is from RNAcentral.